This 399-nucleotide ribosomal RNA is filed under the name uncultured bacterium. RNAcentral describes it as "bacterial SSU rRNA". It matches the Rfam family "Bacterial small subunit ribosomal RNA", at positions 358 to 774 of the family's 1533-position model. The record is from RNAcentral.
GGAAUAUUGCACAAUGGGGGGAACCCUGAUGCAGCGACGCCGCGUGGGUGAAGGAGCACCUCGGUGCGUAAAGCCCUAUCGGCAGGGAAGAAACAGACGGUACCUGACUAAGAAGCCCCGGCUAACUACGUGCCAGCAGCCGCGGUAAUACGUAGGGGGCAAGCGUUAUCCGGAUUCACUGGGUGUAAAGGGAGCGUAGACGGCGACGCAAGUCUGGAGUGAAAGCCCGGGGCCCAACCCCGGGACUGCUCUGGAAACUGCGUCGCUGGAGUACGGGAGGGGCAGGCGGAAUUCCUGGUGUAGCGGUGAAAUGCGUAGAUAUCAGGAGGAACACCGGCGGCGAAGGCGGCCUGCUGGACCGUGACUGACGUUGAGGCUCGAGAGCGUGGGGAGCAAACA